UUCUUUUAAAAUCUGCCUUGUCAUUAAAAAAAAAUUGUGGUAAAAUACACAUAACAUAAAAUUCACCAUCUUUGCCACUUUUAAGUGUUCACAGUUUAGUUAAUAGUACAUUCACAUUGUUAUGCAGCCAGUCUCCAUAGCUCUUUUUAGUUUGCAAAGCAAAAACUGCCUGUUCAUUUUUGAUAGUCACUUGCGACUUGCUUAUUUUUGUGAUUCUGUCUUUUGCUUCUUUAGCCUUUCUUAUGUAGUUAUUUUAUAGUCAAUAUUUGGUAACUGAAGCGUCUGAAGUCCCUGGUACUUCACAUCUGUUCUUUGCUGUUUCUUUAGUCUCUUGCUUCUGAUACUGUUUCGUUUGCCUGUCUGCUUAACCUUGAUUGCUAGCUCAUACUCGGUUGAUCCUAAUCUGUAGAAAAAGUCUUGGGGCCUAAGUCAAAGAUGCUUUUCUCAGAGUAUUUGCUUUUGCUUUUGCCAGUAGCCACUGAGGGCAUGCUGCUGUCCUGAGACCAUUCCAUUGCCUUCCAGAUGCUGCCAUGUAACCCAGGACUUUUAGUUUAGUUCACACACCCAGCCAUAGAGCUGAGGCCCAGCUUCCCAGAGGUUAUGCAAGAUCACCAUGUGCCCUUAAGGGACCCUUCCCCUUUCUGAGGCUCAUUGCCCAGGGAUUUUUUGGUUCUUAUUCUUUGUUUCUUUUCCUUUUUGUCCUUGUAGACAUUUUUUAAAAUUUCCUCUGAGUCCAACAAAACAAGAAUUGUUUUAAUUCAGAUGCUUGUUUUACAGUAAAACAGUAAGAGUAUUAGUCUGCUAUACUUCUGGAAGCCUGAGCUGAUUUUAAAGGAUCUUUAACAUGGGCACUCCAUGUGCUCCUCUGCUGGGCCCCACCACCUUGCUCAGGCUCAGCCACCUUGCUCAGGCAGCCUUGCUCUACUCCCACGUUGCUCGCAGCUUCUGAUUUUGAGGUCUGCCUCAUCUAGACCCUGCUGGGUCUAUCUGACCCCUUGGAAGAAGUCUCUUGGGAAGGAUGACCUUGGUUGACAUCCCUAUCAUAAAUUUUACAUCUGGAAAUUAAAUUGCCUUUCCUCCACUUCAGAGGGAGAAUGGGGUGCAGGUCCUUCCCAGUGCAAUUUUAGCUAGCCUGUAUCUUCUAGGUGUAUACCAGCUUCCAGUUCAGCAGUCCUCCAAAAUUCUAGGGAAAUUAUAUAAAUUGCUGUGUAUUUCUGCUUUGAAGUUUCUGUCAGUGGACUUGAGAGUAGGCAUCCCAUCCCCACUGUGCUGCCCAACUAUUUGGUGUUGGUGGAAGGAUCAUAACACAGCUGUUUUCCCCUCACAGAAAAACAGAAUUCUCUCUUGAUUUCUGUUGUUCAUUCAGUGGGUAAGGGUUAUAAAAAAUCCUGAAACUAGUUAUGACACAUUAACUUUGAAAAGCUCCUUUUGCAGAGACUUGCACCUCACUUUGGAAAUUUAUAUUUGUUGUUUCUUGGUAACUUAUUUGAAACUUCCAGUUUAAUACCUGUCCAUACAAACAUAGGCAGCAUGUAUUGCCUCCAUCUUGGGGUAGUUUUUUCUCCUUUCCCUGACUCAGGUUGUUUGUAAACAUCAUCUAGAAUGGAAUGGACUUCUCUGUUUCUAUGUUGGCCAGUUGUUUUACUUUUUCAUUACCCUGGAGGUAGCACUUCUUACCCCCUGUGAUUCUGAGAUAUAAAGAUGAUCAGGAAACCAUUACAGCCACUGCAGAGUCAGCAACAACAGAGCAGGGCCUUACACUGUCACUUGGCAUGUUGUUUUAUUUUUUUAAUGCCAUAUGGAUUAACCGUCAUUAUUUGUAUAUAGUUACUCCCCAUCAGGGAGAUGGAGAUUAACUCUCCAUUCCUAUAGCGUGGGGUGCACUUUGGGACUUAGCUCCAAACAGAACAGCAGGGCAAGGAGAGAAAGGAACAUAGAGGUGGAGAAACCUGGCACACAGUUCCUCGGCCUAGUCAUCAGUUCACGUUGACCAUGUGACACCUUGACAGGAGUGGUGAGAAGGGUAUUUCACCUCUGUGACCUGAAAAACCUGUAAUCUUGGUCUACUGAUGAGUGAGAAAAGCAUCAGUCACACCCACAUGGAGGGAUGUUCUACCAAAUGCCUGACAGUGCUUCUCAAGACCGUCAACGUCAUCAAAAACAAGGGACAUCUGAGCAUAGUGUCACCGACCAGGCCCGGCAAAGGAGCCACGACCUUUAAACAUAAUGGGAUGGGUUCCUGGGAUAGAAAAGGACAUUAGGGGGAAAAAGUGAAAUCCAAGGAAAGUGUAGCAUGUAGUUAAUAGUAUCUUACCAGUGUUGCUUCCUUUGUUGUGACAGAUGUAUGUAGUAAUGUCAGUGGUAACAACAGAAUAAACCAAGUGAGGGGUACCUGGAGGGUGACGGGUAUACAAGGGUUCUCUGCACUAUCUUUGUAAAGUUUCUGUACCUCUAAAUCUAAAACUAUUGUAAAAUUCUAUUUAAGUAGAAUUUUAAAAUAUUUUUAAAUAUAAUUAUUUAAGCCAUUUCUCUAAUAGCUCAGAGAACUGAUAUAUAUCUAUAGUUUUAUCUGCAUUUCAGCAACAUCUGUGACCAUCUUUCAGAAGAGAUGAGAAAUUGUGGUGGAAAAGGAAGCCCAGUUAAGCAGGUGGCACUUAGCACAGUGGUUAAGAUAGCCUUUGGGGCCAAAAUGACUGGCUUUGAAGCCCUAUUUUGUUCCUUCUAGCUUUGUGACCUCAGGCAAGUUGACAUUCCUAUGCCUCAGUAUCUCUGCCUGUAAGACGAUCAGCCUAUGUUGAGUGACUAAUGAGGUAACACAUAUAAAGCUUCUCUGGCAUGGGCUACACCGUGUUGUAGCACCAGGACCUUCACUGUUUUUUUUCCAACCUCUUCAAGUGACUAUAAAGGUGACAAGUUUGUGGAUAACACAAAGCUGAGCAAGUCCUAUGAAACUGUUCUUGGAGGCUGGGGUUCAACCAAAGGAGGAUGGAGGGUAUGCUUCCCACAUGAGUUGGGAGUGACUCCUUGACGUGUGUGUGUGGAACCCUUUUGGUGCUCAGAAGAAUACACUUAGUCAUACGCAUUUUGUUUGUUACGCAAAACCGUAUCUGUGAUCUUAAGGACAUGCAUCAUGACUGCCAACAUCAAAGCUUGUUCUUUAGAUCCUGCUGUAUUUCAUGUCAGAUACAUUUUCAUUGUGCUCUUUCAAAGGCACUUCCAGGGUCUCUGCCAGAUCCUGGAAGUGGUCAUCUUCCACUACUGGCAGCUGGGUUCUUGGCUGACUCUUUGUCCAGAUGGGAGCACUGUUGUGGCCUCUGAAUCAAAAUUAGCCCUUUUUUCCCCAGUGCGCCUUUGCUAACUUACCUUGGAUUUGGAAGAAAUGAGAACUUGCUAUUUUCUUUAAAACAACACCAGCUAUAUUCAGAUAUAAUUCACAUACCAUACACCUCAUCUAUAUAAAGUGUACAAUUCAAUGGCUUUAGUAUAUUUACAGAGUUGUGGAACCAUCACCACAAUUUUAGAACAUCUUCACGACCCUACCAGUAAACUCUCACCAGUGGUGUAUGAGGGUUCUAGUUUCUCCAUAGCCUAAGACUUUUUACUAUGUGUCUUUUUGAUAUAGGCAUCCUAAUGCUAUGUGUGGUGGUGUCUUAUUGUGGUUUUGAUUUGCAUUUCCCUAUUGACUUAAGAUGUUGAGCACCUUUUUAUGUCCUUAUUUGCCAUUUAUCUUUUUUAGAGAAAUGUCUAUUGAGAUCCCUUCCUUUUUUUUUUUUUUUUUUUAUGGAGUCGCACUCUGUUGCCCAGGCUGGAGUGCAGUGGCGUGAUCUUGGCUCACUGCAGCCUUUGCCUCUCAGGUUCAAGCUCUUCUCCUGCCUCAAUCUCCUGAGUAGCUGUGAUUAUAGGCACCCACCACCAUGCCUGGCUAAUUUUUGUAUUUUUAGUAGAGAUGGGGUUUCACCAUGUUGGCCAGGCUGGUUUGAACUCCUGACCUCAACUGAUCCACAUCCCUUGGCCUCCCAAAGUGCUGGGAUUACAGGCAUGAACCAUUUGCUCAUUUUAAAAUAGGUUUUCUUUUUAUUAUUGAGUUGUAUUUGGUGUAUAUUUCAGGUAUAAGUCCCUUAUCAGAUACAUGAAUUACAGACGUUUUCUCCCAUUCUGUCUGUAUCUUUUCACUUUUUUGAUAAUGGUUUAAUUUUGAUGAAAACUUUUGUCUUUAGUAUUUGUACUUUUGGUGUCAUAUCUCAGAAGAUUUUGCUAAUCAAGGACUAUUUUUUCUAAGAGUUUUAUAGUUUUAGCUCUUACAUUUAGGUCUGUGAUUUAUUUUGAGUUAAUUUUUGUUCAUGGUACAAGGAAGGGAUUUCUUGCAUUCCUGCUAAGUGGUCUGUAAUUUUGGUAGAAGCUAUGCAGUGGGUAUACGUGACUAGUCAAGAACAAAAAAAGUCUUUGAUACUGAGUGCCUAAUGAGCUGCCCUGGCCAGACCAUUGCACCUAUGUGGCUGUUUCAUCAUUCAGAAUUGCUAAUUAAAGGUCAGCUGUUCACUUAACCAACAAGGUUUAUACGUUUUUUUCUAAAAUGUAUGUAAAUAUUGUUUUUUUCUUGGAGGCUUUUUAUUUUUAACUGGGUCUAAAAAACUAGUUUGGAGCAUGUUCAGGAAAAAAAUACACAUAGCACGGUAUGUCUGAAAGAGCAUGAACUUAGAGUGCAGAAGACCUGUGGGAAAUCUUAUACCUUCCAUUUACUAGUUAUGUUCCUUGGGGACAUGCUUCCUCUAAGCCUCAAUUUCCAGCAAAAUUGGUGAGAGGAAUCCAUGAAAUCAUGCUUAUAAAAUGCUUAGUAUGCCAUUUCUUGGCAUAUCUUAGUUACUCAGUAAAUGAUUACUAUUUUUGUAGUUGAUACUAAAACUGCAGCCAUCAUUCAUUUUUCUCCUGUGUGGUCCCUUUUAUGAUGCCCCUAUGUGAAUAUGCCUUGGGUCAGUCUUUUUCUCAGAAAGUUAACGUCAUUUUAUUUUCUAGCUAGGGUGAUUUACUCAAGCUAUUUGAGAGUUGCAGUCUCCUAAGUUUUCAGAGUGAGUUCCCAAGGGAACCAUGAAGAAUAAUAGUUUAUCUUGAUUCCAGGAAAGACAGUUGCUGAGAGAUUCAUGGAAUACAUGUUUGCAUUUCUUUCGAGAGCGGCUCACAAAUUAUGUUGGGUUAUAAAUGCUGGUUGCUUCUUUGCCAGCAAAGAAACUUCGUUGGAGUAUUUCAGCUUUCUAGUGAAGACAAAGAUUUUUUGACAAGAUGGGAAAGACUUUACAAGAUUGUGGGGAGGUAGCAUUGCAUUUAAACCAACAGCAAGAAAUUGGUGAGAAAAAAAGAUGUGACAUUCAGAAAAGGAAGGACAAACAGCACCAAUAGAGAACCACAGAUUCCAUGCUGCUGUGGGGGGGUUGAGGGAGUUAAUAAUACUGGUAGUAAUACUGGUAAUAAUAAUUGGUCUUGAGCGUUUAUCAUGUGAUAUGUGUAAAUGCUAUGUGCUUUAAUCAUGCCUAUAGUCAUUGAAUAGGCACAGAGAUUGCAGCGAGCGGAGUUGAGAGUUGAAGAGAUUGAAUAACUAAUUCUGUGGUCAUAUAGCUAGUAAAAGGCAGGCCUAGGAUAUGAAUUGAGUAUGGCUAGAGGUUUUUUUUUCUUUUUUUUUGAGACAGAGUCUCGCUCUGUCACCCAGGUUGGAGUGCAGUGGUGCAAUCUCAGCUCACUGCAACCUUUGCCUUCUGGGUUCCAGCAAUUCUCCUGCCUCAGCCUCAUGAGUAGCUGGGAUUAUAGGUGCCUGCCACCAUAUCUGGCUAAUUUUUGUAUUUUUAGUAGAGAUGGGGUUUCACCAUGUUGGCCAGGAUGGUUUUGAACUCCUGACCUCAGGUAAUCCGCCCAUCUCAGCCUCCCAAAGUUCUGGGAUUACAGGCGUGAGCCACCACAUCUGACUCAGUGUGGCUGAAGUUUUCAAUAGAAAUUGUUUUCUCUUUUGAAUAUGGGAGACCUGAGACCCCAUCAGUCCUAUGGAGUGCUUUACCAUUUCUUUAGCUUUACCUAGGGAACCAGCUGUUCAAAAAACCAGACACUUUUCAGAGAAAAUGGGCUUCUGUUAGAUUUUACCCGAUGGCAGACAGUAUAUGCCCUAGGUGAACCAGAAAAGUGUGGUUGCCUGUAGAUGAGAGUUUUAAAACAGUACUAUUUGGAGCUCUACCCACAAAAAAGGAUAUAGCCUUAUUUAGAACAGAUGGUUUGGAGUAAACGAAUGACAUGGAGAAAACAGAACUGCUCAACUUCUAUUUUGAUUUUAUCAUCUUUAUCAGGAAAAAUGAUCUUUAAGUUGGGAAGGGUAGAAUAAACAUGGUUAGCAGAUAUUAAAACCCAAGAUAGAAGAGAUAAUGAGAAUGGCUAAAAAAUGCCUUUAUGUCUCCUGGGCACGGAAGGAACUUGCAGAUGUGAUUGUGGAACCACUUGAGAUAAUAUUUUGUGAAUCAAGGAGAAUAGGAUACCGGAAGAUUGUAAAUGAUUUCAACAAACAUGUCCCUGUUUUCAAGGGGGAAAGCAUGGUUUAGAAACUGCAGAUGGGUUAGCUUAAGUCAGUUUCUGAGGAAUUCUAGAAGAACUAUUAAGCAGAUGUUUAUGAACAUAUAAUAAAGCAACAGUGAGUAAUGGGAGACAAAAAGGAUACUCUAAGAACAAGUCUUUUUCUUGUUUAGAUGGGAUCAUUCAUCUGAUACAUGAAGGGAAUGCCAGAUAGAGAGUGAAUAUUGAUUUCAGCCAGCCACUUUGAGAGUCUCUGGUGUCACAGACAAGAUGGAGAAAUGUGACUGGGGUGAUUAUACAGUUUGAUGAGUUUAUAUUUGCUGCCACAACCAUUGUGUGUGUUUAUUUAUUUAUUAUUAUUAUUAUUUUUUGAGACAGGGUCUUACUCUGUUGCCCAGGCUAGAGUGCAUGAUCAUAGCCUCAUUGUAACCUUGAACUCCUGGCUUCAAUCAAUCUUUCCUCCUCAGACUCUCAAAGCUCUGGGAUUAUAGGUGUGAGCCACUGUGCUGGGCCUGCAACCAUUUUUAAACUGGGUGAUGAAUGGAUUGAUCAACUAACUAUAGUCUCUGGGACAAAAUAACCUGUUUGUUUUUAUAAAUAAAGCUUUAUUGGAACACAGUCGUGCCCAUUUGUUUAUGUAUUGUUUAUGGCUGCUUUCAUGCUAUAGUAGCAGAGCUGAACAGCUGCUUUGGAGACCAUUUAGCCCAUGAAGCCUAUAAUAUUUGCUUUCUGGCUCUUGAACAGACAAAGUUUGCUGACCUCUGGCCUAGGCAGAACACUUGUUCUCAGCCUGCUGUACAUUAGAAUCACCUAAAGCAUUCUUACUAAUGCCCAAGCAUCUUUUCUCCCUAGCCCCUCCAACUAAAUCAGAAUCUGAGAUUAAGCCUGGCUUUUUUUUUUUUUUUAAGAUUCCUGGGUGAUUGUAAUGUGAAGUCAGAGCUGGAGACCACUGGCUAGGAGGGAGGGUGCUAGUGGGGAGUCCAGCAAGGGACUGGGCCCCAUCUUGUGUUUUCUAUGAGGGUUAAUUAUAUACUGUGCAAUCCAAUCUCUGGAUGACACAGAGGAAGAGGUGGACAUGGCUAUUUAGAUGACAGGGUAAGAACUGUAAAAUUUGUGGCCCUAAGGUAACAAGAUGAUGUUGGUAUAGUAAAAAAUGUAAAGGCCUUUCCCUAAGUACUAAAAAUUCUCUUGUAGAAGUAUCAGGUGGUGAUUUGGCCAUACACAGUGAAAUGCAAGUGAAAAUGAGUUAAGGGUUAGCUGCAAACUCAGUAUUAGCCAACAGUAUGUGAUAACUAGAAAACCCAAAAUGAGACAAAACCAACAAUAACAACUAAGGCAAUCUCAGCCUAUAUUAACAUAAUUACAGUGAAAGCAAGGAUAAAAUUUCUACUGUAUCUACUCAGGUCAAAUCUCACCUGUUGGAGAAAUGCUUUUUGCAGGUGGGAAUGCAACUGGUUCAGCUUUGGAGUGACCUGGGGUAGUGCUUCCCAAGAAACUAACCUCUAUUCCCCAGAGAGCAGGGUGAGCUGCCACAGUGGGUAGUGUAACCUUGUCUCUGAGAGGUGUGCAAGGAGGGAUCAGAUGGCCAUUUGGCAGGGGUUAGAAAUGAAUGUUCAUCUUUGGGGAUUGUAUUAGGAUUCUCCAGGGAAAUAGAACCAAUAGGAUGGAUGGAUGGAAAACAAUAUAUGUAAAGCCUUAUGAUAAGGAAGUGGCUCAUGUGAUUAUGGAGGUCGACAAGUUCCAAGAUCUGCAGAAUGAGAUUGGCACACUUGAGAUGCAGGAGAGCCAGUGGUGUGAGUUCCAGUUCAAAGGCUGUCAGGCUUGAGACCUAUGAAAAGCCAGUGUUUCAUUUUGAGUCCUCAAACAGGGAAAAACUGAUGUUGCAGCUCAAGGCAGUCAGGCAGAAAGAGAUUCCCCCUUACUCUAGGAGGGUCUGCCUUUUGGUUCUGUUCAGGCUUUCAGCUGAUUGGCUGGAGCCUACCCAUGUUAGGGAGGGCAACCUACUUUACUCAGAUUGAAAUGUUACUUCUCUCCGGAAACAGCCAGAAUAAUGUUUGACUAAAUGUCUGGCACCCCAUGGCCCAGCCAAGAUGACACAUAAAAUCAGCUGUCACAGUGAUCAUCUAAUGUAACUUCUUCAUUUUGUGGAUCAGAAAACAGAGUCACAGAGGAUGUGUUUCCCAAGGUGCCCCCGUUUGGUCAGUGGCCAAGGUAGCUCUAGGAUGAUUAGGUCUCCUCAGUCCACAGCCCUGUGUUCUCUUCCUGCCACACUGUUUAGUAGAUGUAGAGGUUAUGUUAAUGACCUCUGCUGCCCUCUCCAGCCCUCAGAAUUAGACUGACUGUUAAACGAAAUGGAAGAUGUUGUUUUCCAGAAGGAGAUGCCUUAAACAGGAUGGAGAACUGCAGUUCACUGGGAGUGUAGUGCUUGAUUUUGAGGAGACCCUUACCCAGAUACAGAGGGGUCAGCGUAAACCCAGUUGAUGUCCACUGUCUUAUGUACUCGGAUUCUGAGCUCUUCCUUUUAUACACAAACACUCUUCAGGCCCCUUCAAAGCCCCAAAUACUACUUAAUCCUUUAAUGCUGUUGCUGUCAAAAGGAUGAGGAAGAUGGAUGUCAGGCAGAUUUCAGGCUGGCGUGCAUAAUUAGAUGAGUGCAGGGCCACCAUGCGGGGCCACCAUCUGAAGCUCUGUGGGGGAGUUUCCUUUGUGCUCUCUGCAUAUGGUCUCCUCUUGUUGCAUCAGCAGAUGAUUCAGCCAGAAAGAUGAAGACACUCAAAGGGACACUACUUUUGGAUAUGGCUCAUCAUAAUAGGCUAAGCCCCCACCCUAUGUCCAAGACGAUUCUAGAUGCUUCUAAUACAUUAUUAUUCCUGGUCUAAAAGACAACUGUGCAAGCUACACAUUAUCAUCCCCAUUCCAUAAAUGAGAAGACUGAGCUCUGGAUGUGUUUUCUUCACAGUGGAGGAAAAUGAUAUUGAUUGACAGGAAGCAAGAAUACAGUUAUUAGAAGACCACUCUCAGAGUCAACUCUCAGGUACUGUCAAACGGCAACAUUUGAAAUUCCACAGUGGCUAACACACUGACACCCAACACAGUUCAAGUGUUGUAUAAAUAAAGUCAACAGGCUGACUUUUGAGUAAAACAUAAUUUUUCAACUGCUGCCAAGAGGAAGAUAAUUGAUGAUAAAAGGUAAACAUGAAUGACUUUUUGAUUACCUGUUGUUUUAGAUUAUCUCAGCUUCUCUUCAUCAUUACUGCAAAGUCUUCAAAGCUAUGCAAAGUAAACUCUUAGGAUCAAUUUCCCCCUCUCCACUUCCCCUCUUGUCAUAUUUCCCCACACCUUUUAACAGAAGGGGAAGUCAGGAAUUAGUUGCUUCACUUUCUAAUUAUUACAAGUGUGUUAAACAAAAUCACUGAUAAGAGCCUCACACGUUGCAGGUGCGCAUGCCUGAGCUCCUACUGGAGAAGGCGGCUGGGCUGGAGGAAGCAUGAGCAGGUGCAGUGCCCUGUCCCACCCUGCCCCACCCUUCCCCUGCAGGAGUCCUCAUUAGUGAAUGGGCUGAGAGUGGCCUGGGCAGUGUUCUGUAUGUACAGAUACAAUAUUUUUAGGCUCUAAAACAGUAUGAUUUGGCAAAUGGACCUGCCAAGUUGAAUCACAAUCUCUAAACCCAAGAGCAUUUCCCGGGUUCCUCUGGAGUAGUUCCUUUGUUUGGGUAGGGGAGGAGUGGAGACAGACCCUGGACAUAGAGUGGGGACAAGGAGUGUAUGCGGUGUGAAAGUUUGCUUUAAUAUGGGAUCCUUAUGGAUCCAUUCUAAGUCAGGGUAGUCCUGGAAGGCAGGAUAUGGUCAGCUCCAGGUAGGUCCCAAGCAUACUGGGUCAUUGCCCUUCCAUAAAUCCAUGUUGUCGAAGGGGUGGGAUGGGAGACAAGGUAGAAGAUCUGGAGCUACUUCUGCCUUUUUCUUUUUAACUUCACAAUGUAAGUUUUGUGGAUUUUUGAAAACACAAAUAGAAAUCUUAAUCAUAUUCUUUCUCCUAUUAAAUGAAUUUUAAUGCUGCAAUUUUAAAAUGGAUUGAGUGGCAUGGCUGCUCAUCCCUGGGUUAAGGUUCUUUGGUAAAACUAAUUCAUACGUGAAGUACAAAAUAAACAUGAAAAUAGCAUGCCAAUGAGGGAAGGAAAUGAAGACUUCAUACAGCAAGCUCCUUCUGUUGUCUGUUUCCUUCCUCCCCCUUCCCUCUGCAGUCCUUCUCUCAAGCCUGCGAUGAACAUCCUGAGGCUCUUUGAAAAUCCAUUUGUGUUUUUGGUUGAAUGCACCCUAGGUCUUGAAGACUCACAGGCUAGAGAAGUAUUGAUUGCAUUUAAGGGUCCAUUACUUAGGUAAACCAAAUAAUGUAACUGAUCUUGGCUUUAAUUGAUCAAAUCUCUCCCACAGUGUUGGAAAGAUUGUAAUCUAAUUACUCUGGUUCCUGGUUUCUAAGGUGAAGGUUACAUUUUGCUGAAACUUAGCCUGCUUCAGUAACCUCUCCUUAUCUGGGCUGUCCCUUUUUGAAACACAUACACAGUGUAUGUUGUCUAUCUGUGAACUCAGAAGUACACACACAGGUGGACACUUAGCUGUCCAUGUAGAGCCCCUGUGAAUUUUAAUUUAGACUCUAUAUUGACAGUAGGUAAGAAAUGUGAGCCAUGCUAGUUUUUUCAUCUUAAUUCUUUACAGCUUGGGAAAGGGGACUAGCAAGAUGCUCCUGUCUAAUCAGGUUCAAUACCAGCCUCUCUUGUUUCUCCUAACAAGCUUGGCCUCAUCCUAAUUCUUUCCUUUUCUGGAGAUAGAAGAUCUAUUUUGAGCCUCAGAACAUUGCAAGUGCAGUAUGUUUGAAGACUGAGUUGAAAGCUGCUGAGCUGCUGAUUUAUCUGCAGAUUGGCUACCCUGUUAACUAGUUCUUCAUGGAAGCGCCUCGACAUCUUCCUGGGAGCUGUUGCAUGGGCUCAGCUCAGAUUCUCCAGCUCUCUUUCAAAAUACCCCUUUACCUCCUUUAUUAAGGCUGGUCUACUCCGGAGGUUAAAAUCCAGGGCUAGGGUGGCAGUGGGUGCGCUUUUAAACAAAGGAGCUUGAUAUCUGCCCUAACCAGCAGGAUAACCACAUUUAAAGAAGACUACCUGAAUGACUAUUUGAGUUGGAAGAAAUGGGCUCUGCCAUGGGGAGAAAUCAGGACUCUAGUAAAUAACUUCCCCAGCAUUCCUAAAAAUGACAUAGGGUGCUAGAAAGCUUUAUGUCAUUCAUGGGGAUUAGUGGAGAGCAUGUUGGGCAGUUUCUCUGUCUGAGUAGGGGAGGAUGGGAGACAGGAAACCUGGAAUGUGGCAUUCUUCUGGCAGGUCUUCUUUCUGCAGGACUUCCCUUGUUGGCUGUUACUCUACAUUAGUCAACAGCAGCAUCCGCAGAAGAGGUUGUCAGCAUCAGCUGCUGCGUGGAAAUUGGUGCAUCAGUCAAGCCCAUCUGCAUCUGCAGGAGCAGUGUGGAAAUGUGAAGCAGGGACUGCUGGGAGAUGAGGGGUAAUGAUCUGCCUUUCAGGGUGCUUGGGGAUUUCUUUUGGUCAGACAAAAUCCUACAUGCCCUGACAUUUACUUUCCUUUAAGAAAGUAUGUUUUUGCAAGUACACAGUGCUAUGUAGUAGACCUUAUAAAGGAUCUUAAAAUUGAAACACUCUGCAGAUACAGCUUUUCUAGACAACAAGUACAAGAACUCUCACCUAAGCUGGCAAGAUGUCUGUGUCUUUUUACAAGAAACAUCUUGGUGUUCUGUGGCAUGGAUUCUUUCUGGGAUCUAAGAACAGGAAUACUCAGUCCAGGAGUUUAAGACUACAGCGAGCUAUGAUUGUGCCACUGCACUCUAGCCUGGGUUACAGAGCAAGACCCUAUCCCAAAAAUAAAAAAUAAGUAAAAUAAAACAUGAGAAUGUUUAUGUGACAGUGUGAAGAACGUGUUUCAUGGGAAUGUUUUGAGAGACAGCCGUGAAGCCAUUUGCAAGUGUAACUGUGAUUUUUUUUUUUUUCCAAGGUAGAGUAUUGCUCUGUUGCCCAGGCUGGAGUGCAAUGGCAUGAUUUUGGCUCACUGCAACUUCUACCUCCUGGAUAUUUACAUCCUGGGUUCAAGUGAUUUUCCUGCCUCAGCCUCCUAUGUAGCUGGAAGUAUAGGCAUGUGCCACCAUGCCCAGCUAAUUUUUGUAUUUUUUGUAGAGAUGGGGGUUCACUAUGUUGGCCAGGCUGACCUUGAACUCCUGACCUUGUGAUCUGCCCACAUCAACUUAGCAAAGUGCUGGGAUUACAGGCAUGAGCCAUCAAGCCCAGCCACAUAACUGCCAUUUUAAUGGGUUUAACAUUAAUGCUAGAAAGCUUACAUUCAGAGCAGGGCAGUAAUGUUUCUUAAAGGUUGGGUGUAAGAUGUUGUAUGAGGAGUACUCUUAGUUUGGCCUCCCACUCUGCCCAUUGGAUUACUUAUAUUUUCCUAACUCUGAUUUUUAAAAGUUUCAAGUGUAUAAAAAAGUUGAAAAACAUGUCGCCAUGACAUGGGAGAAUAGUCAUUACUCCCAUUCUGACAUAUUUGCUCGAUACUCACUUUAUUUUCUGAACAUUUGAAAGACUCUUUCAGGUCAUGACAAUUCAUCCCUAAACAUUUCUAGUGUAACUCCUAAGACUUGUUUAUUCUUUUUUUUUUUUUGGUACUUUUUUUUUUUUUUUCUUUUAGUAGAGAUGGGGUUUCACCAUGUUGACCUGAAUGGUCUCGAUCUCUUGACCUUGUGAUCUACCCGCCUUGGCCUCCCAAAGUGCUGGGGUUACAGGUGUGAGCCACCACGCAUGGCCAAGACUUGUUUAUUCUUUUACACAGUCUAUUGCCAUUAAAACAUCAGGAAAUUUUAACCUCAAUAUAAUAAUAUCUAGUGGUCAAUCCAUAUUAAAAUCUCCCCAAUUGUCUUAGUAAUUUUUCUUAUGGCCAUUAUUUUCUGAAGUCUGAAAUCUAGCCAGAGAUCACACAUGAUGUUUAGUUGUCACAUCUCGUUAGCCUUAUUUUAAGUCUAUAAUAGUCCUCCAGCUUUUUCAAAGUCUUUUUGUGACAUGUAACAUCUUGAAAAGUCCAGGCUAGUUCUUGUUCUUGUGGAAUGUCCCCCAAUCCCAAUUGUUUCCUCCUGUGAGAUGCGAGGAUAUCCCAUCAGGACAGAGUGACCUUCCCCUGUGGCACCACAGGAAGUACAGGGUGUCAGUCUGUCCCUUUUGUGGUGAUGUGUGGUCACAUGAAUAAGGCAGUGGCCACCAGAUUUCUCUGUGCUGUCAGGUUCUGUCUUCCUUUUGUGGUUAAGGGGCUUGUGGGAUGAUCUUUUGAGACCAGUGAACAUCCUGUUCCCAGCAGUCUUUAACAGAAUGACCUUUGCCUGAAUUGGUUAUUGCUUUGGUAGUUACUGUGCCCCAAUAUUUAACAAAAACAAAAGGCAGUUAUACUUUGGAAGCCAGAGAAAUGACUCCAGAGAGGAAAAAAGCCACAUCUUUUAAAAUUUAAUAAAACAAUUUACCUUUUAUAUAUUAAAGUAAGAUUUUUAAAUUUGUAAGUGUGCGUAUCAAUAGGAUUUGAUGAAGUAGGAUUUGAAAUUUAUGAGUGUGAAUAUCAAUAAAGAAAUUCUGUAAUUUUAGUUAUAGAUUUUUAAAGGUUGUACUUACACAUUUCUACAUUUUGCACACUGUAUCUUAAAAUUUGCAUUAAAAAUUUCCAGAGCUGAAA
This is a non-coding RNA of Callithrix jacchus (white-tufted-ear marmoset), 14308 nucleotides long. The record is from RefSeq and is a predicted model, not a curated record. Lineage: Eukaryota; Metazoa; Chordata; Mammalia; Primates; Cebidae.